Molecule: ribosomal RNA, 583 nt
Filed under: uncultured bacterium
Lineage: Bacteria
Description: bacterial SSU rRNA
Rfam family: Bacterial small subunit ribosomal RNA
Source: RNAcentral
CUUGCUUCUCUUGAGAGCGGCGGACGGGUGAGUAAUGCCUAGGAAUCUGCCUGGUAGUGGGGGAUAACGUUCGGAAACGGACGCUAAUACCGCAUACGUCCUACGGGAGAAAGCAGGGGACCUUCGGGCCUUGCGCUAUCAGAUGAGCCUAGGUCGGAUUAGCUAGUUGGUGGGGUAAUGGCUCACCAAGGCGACGAUCCGUAACUGGUCUGAGAGGAUGAUCAGUCACACUGGAACUGAGACACGGUCCAGACUCCUACGGGAGGCAGCAGUGGGGAAUAUUGGACAAUGGGCGAAAGCCUGAUCCAGCCAUGCCGCGUGUGUGAAGAAGGUCUUCGGAUUGUAAAGCACUUUAAGUUGGGAGGAAGGGUUGUAGAUUAAUACUCUGCAAUUUUGACGUUACCGACAGAAUAAGCACCGGCUAACUCUGUGCCAGCAGCCGCGGUAAUACAGAGGGUGCAAGCGUUAAUCGGAAUUACUGGGCGUAAAGCGCGCGUAGGUGGUUUGUUAAGUUGGGAUGUGAAAUCCCCGGGCUCAACCUGGGAAACUGCAUUCAAAACUGACUGACUAGAGUAUGGGUAGA